This 23-nucleotide non-coding RNA is filed under the name Cricetulus griseus (Chinese hamster). The record is from RNAcentral. Lineage: Eukaryota; Metazoa; Chordata; Mammalia; Rodentia; Cricetidae.
UUUGGGUGCUGACGGUGGGGGUU